CAAGAACCAUAGAGAUAGAAAGAAGAGUAAGUAAAACUCCAAUUAGACCAUGGCUGCAGCAUGCUUGUGAGAUAGAAAAUACUAAAAAUUCAAUUUUAUGUAAGUUAGUAACUAGUGGAUUGCUUCUGGAGCUCAUGCCAGAGCUGGGAGUCACAUGAGAGUUCAUGGAAGAAAGAUAUCUGUGGUAGAGUCCUGGAUGUGACAGAACACAGAUGGCACCAACGAGUUUCACAGCCAGAAAGAGAAGGUCCCGCUUGAGUGAGGACAGAUGCAAAGACUGGAGAUCAGAGCUCUUGGAGAGUCCCUGAAAGAGCCUUAAUUGUGCGCUCACCCUUGGAGAUAAUAACAGCUCCCAGGCUCGGGGGAGAGAAACCUCACAGGAGAGUGGGCAUGGUGGCUAUGCUGGAAGACAGAAGCAGUGGGAGUCAGGGCCUUCUCUGCACUGAAGAUGAAGCGUCUAUUCCUCCAGCUUCUUGCCUCGCUGUUCUUGCAAUCCUUCAGCACGUGGCAAUGCCAGGCAUGGAGCAGACGUGAAGGAAAUAAACUAAGCAGUUGAAAUUACUGUUUAACUCGGGCUCCUCCAGAGGAUUCAAGCCAGUAUCCACAGUACUCAUUGAGCACCUGCCAUGCUCCAGGCAUUGAACAAAAUAGACAAAGAUCCUGCCCUCAUGAAGCUUGUAUUCCGCUUAUUGGGAACUCCUUGAAGUUCUAAGAGUCAACACAAGUCGACUUUCUAAUGGGUUUUGCUGCUAAGUAGCUUUUGAUCUUAGGCCAGUCAUUCAACCUACCUGGGCC
Molecule: long non-coding RNA, 795 nt
Filed under: Equus caballus (horse)
Lineage: Eukaryota; Metazoa; Chordata; Mammalia; Perissodactyla; Equidae
Description: lncRNA (ENSECAG00000054893.1)
Source: RNAcentral